AUCUUAAUAAUCAUUAUCAGUUUACUUAAAAGUCUUUUUUUAGACUUAAAGUGACUUGUAAAAUAAAUGGGAAAUAAAUCUUUAGUUACGUCUUGGAGUCAAUUCGCUAUAGAAAGGAAUAAGAAGAGAAGCUAAGCGAACACCAUUUUUUUUUAGCAUAGAAGGUAAAGCGGAAAACGAAGCAAAGUAAAGAAUAGAAAAGGUCCGCUAAUAAUGCCAACAAAAAGAAUCGUAUAUUCAAUCGGUAAAGUGAAGAUAAAAGAAAAUUAAGUCCAGCUCUCCGCUCAUCGCCUCAUAUAGAUGAAGACUCGCUGUAUGCCAAAGAUCGAAAAAAUAAAAAAACACCUGCAUUAUCGCUUCAGCGGAAUCUUCCGUAGA
Long non-coding RNA from Glossina fuscipes, 378 nucleotides. RefSeq lists it as uncharacterized. The record is from RefSeq and is a predicted model, not a curated record. NCBI's taxonomy places the organism in Eukaryota, Metazoa, Arthropoda, Insecta, Diptera, Glossinidae. The transcript has 4 exons.